This 507-nucleotide ribosomal RNA is filed under the name uncultured bacterium. RNAcentral describes it as "partial 16S ribosomal RNA". It matches the Rfam family "Bacterial small subunit ribosomal RNA", at positions 28 to 507 of the family's 1533-position model. The record is from RNAcentral.
GACGAACGCUGGCGGCGUGCCUAAUACAUGCAAGUCGAACGCAUUUUCUUUCACCGUAGCUUGCUACACCGAAAGAAAAUGAGUGGCGAACGGGUGAGUAACACGUGGGUAACCUGCCCAUCAGCGGGGGAUAACACUUGGAAACAGGUGCUAAUACCGCAUAAUUCCAUUUACUGCAUGGUAGAUGGAUGAAAGGCGCUUUUGCGUCACUGAUGGAUGGACCCGCGGUGCAUUAGCUAGUUGGUGGGGUAACGGCCUACCAAGGCUGCGAUGCAUAGCCGACCUGAGAGGGUGAUCGGCCACACUGGGACUGAGACACGGCCCAGACUCCUACGGGGGGCAGCAGUAGGGAAUCUUCGGCAAUGGACGCAAGUCUGACCGAGCAACGCCGCGUGAGUGAAGAAGGUUUUCGGAUCGUAAAACUCUGUUGUUAGAAAAGAACAAGGAUGAGAGUGGAAAGUUCAUCCCUUGACGGUAUCUAACCAGAAAGCCACGGCUAACUUCGUG